RNAcentral lists this ribosomal RNA (635 nucleotides) under Fereydounia khargensis. RNAcentral describes it as "LSU rRNA". It matches the Rfam family "Eukaryotic large subunit ribosomal RNA", at positions 39 to 651 of the family's 3401-position model. The record is from RNAcentral. Lineage: Eukaryota; Fungi; Basidiomycota; Ustilaginomycetes; Urocystidales; Fereydouniaceae.
CAUAUCAAUAAGCGGAGGAAAAGAAACUAACAAGGAUUCCCCUAGUAACGGCGAGUGAAGAGGGAAGAGCCCAAGUUUGAAAGCUGGCGUCUUCGGCGUCCGCAUUGUAAACUCGAGAAGCGUUUUCCGCGCCGGACCAAGCUCAAGUCCCUUGGAAUAGGGCAUCAUAGAGGGUGAGAGUCCCGUACUUGGCUUGGAGUCCCCGGGGCUUUGUGAUACGCUCUCCAAGAGUCGAGUUGUUUGGGAAUGCAGCUCAAAAUGGGUGGUAAAUGCCAUCUAAGGCUAAAUAUCGAGGAGAGACCGAUAGCGAACAAGUACCGUGAGGGAAAGAUGAAAAGAACUUUGGAAAGAGAGUUAAACAGUACGUGAAAUUGCCGGAAGGGAAGGGUAGGGAGUCAGAUAUGCUGUGCGGAUUCAGCCUUGUCUUUGGACUUGGUGUAUUUUCGUAUUGGCAGGCCAGCAUCGGUUUGUGCCGCUGGAUAUAGGCUUGGGGAAUGUGGCUUUGUCUUCGGUCAAAGUGUUAUAGCCCCUUGCUGAGUACAGCGGCAUGGACCGAGGCACGCAGCGCACCCUCUGGGCGGGCCCUCGGGCACCUUUGCGCUUAGGAUGCUGGCUUAAUGGCUCUCUGCCACCCG